This 1529-nucleotide ribosomal RNA is filed under the name Staphylococcus aureus M0678. RNAcentral describes it as "bacterial LSU rRNA". It matches the Rfam family "Bacterial large subunit ribosomal RNA", at positions 3 to 1532 of the family's 2925-position model. Lineage: Bacteria; Bacillati; Bacillota; Bacilli; Caryophanales; Staphylococcaceae. The record is from RNAcentral.
UUAAGUUAUUAAGGGCGCACGGUGGAUGCCUUGGCACUAGAAGCCGAUGAAGGACGUUACUAACGACGAUAUGCUUUGGGGAGCUGUAAGUAAGCUUUGAUCCAGAGAUUUCCGAAUGGGGAAACCCAGCAUGAGUUAUGUCAUGUUAUCGAUAUGUGAAUACAUAGCAUAUCAGAAGGCACACCCGGAGAACUGAAACAUCUUAGUACCCGGAGGAAGAGAAAGAAAAUUCGAUUCCCUUAGUAGCGGCGAGCGAAACGGGAAGAGCCCAAACCAAAAAGCUUGCUUGUUGGGGUUGUAGGACACUCUAUACGGAGUUACAAAGGACGACAUUAGACGAAUCAUCUGGAAAGAUGAAUCAAAGAAGGUAAUAAUCCUGUAGUCGAAAAUGUUGUCUCUCUUGAGUGGAUCCUGAGUACGACGGAGCACGUGAAAUUCCGUCGGAAUCUGGGAGGACCAUCUCCUAAGGCUAAAUACUCUCUAGUGACCGAUAGUGAACCAGUACCGUGAGGGAAAGGUGAAAAGCACCCCGGAAGGGGAGUGAAAUAGAACCUGAAACCGUGUGCUUACAAGUAGUCAGAGCCCGUUAAUGGGUGAUGGCGUGCCUUUUGUAGAAUGAACCGGCGAGUUACGAUUUGAUGCAAGGUUAAGCAGUAAAUGUGGAGCCGUAGCGAAAGCGAGUCUGAAUAGGGCGUUUAGUAUUUGGUCGUAGACCCGAAACCAGGUGAUCUACCCUUGGUCAGGUUGAAGUUCAGGUAACACUGAAUGGAGGACCGAACCGACUUACGUUGAAAAGUGAGCGGAUGAACUGAGGGUAGCGGAGAAAUUCCAAUCGAACCUGGAGAUAGCUGGUUCUCUCCGAAAUAGCUUUAGGGCUAGCCUCAAGUGAUGAUUAUUGGAGGUAGAGCACUGUUUGGACGAGGGGCCCCUCUCGGGUUACCGAAUUCAGACAAACUCCGAAUGCCAAUUAAUUUAACUUGGGAGUCAGAACAUGGGUGAUAAGGUCCGUGUUCGAAAGGGAAACAGCCCAGACCACCAGCUAAGGUCCCAAAAUAUAUGUUAAGUGGAAAAGGAUGUGGCGUUGCCCAGACAACUAGGAUGUUGGCUUAGAAGCAGCCAUCAUUUAAAGAGUGCGUAAUAGCUCACUAGUCGAGUGACACUGCGCCGAAAAUGUACCGGGGCUAAACAUAUUACCGAAGCUGUGGAUUGUCCUUUGGACAAUGGUAGGAGAGCGUUCUAAGGGCGUUGAAGCAUGAUCGUAAGGACAUGUGGAGCGCUUAGAAGUGAGAAUGCCGGUGUGAGUAGCGAAAGACGGGUGAGAAUCCCGUCCACCGAUUGACUAAGGUUUCCAGAGGAAGGCUCGUCCGCUCUGGGUUAGUCGGGUCCUAAGCUGAGGCCGACAGGCGUAGGCGAUGGAUAACAGGUUGAUAUUCCUGUACCACCUAUAAUCGUUUUAAUCGAUGGGGGGACGCAGUAGGAUAGGCGAAGCGUGCGAUUGGAUUGCACGUCUAAGCAGUAAGGCUGAGUAU